Molecule: non-coding RNA, 48 nt
Filed under: Plasmodium falciparum 3D7
Lineage: Eukaryota; Apicomplexa; Aconoidasida; Haemosporida; Plasmodiidae
Source: RNAcentral
ACACUUGACUACUUGGUUGAUGUAAAGAAGAAAUUAUUGUUGUAUUAG